RNAcentral lists this ribosomal RNA (476 nucleotides) under Coryphagrion grandis. Its description in RNAcentral is "partial 16S ribosomal RNA". It matches the Rfam family "Archaeal large subunit ribosomal RNA", at positions 1944 to 2658 of the family's 2987-position model. The record is from RNAcentral. Lineage: Eukaryota; Metazoa; Arthropoda; Insecta; Odonata; Coenagrionidae.
GUCAGGCCUGCCCAGUGAAAAUUUAACGGCCGCGGUAUAUUGACCGUGCAAAGGUAGCAUAAUCAUUAGUCUUUUAAUAGGAGGCUGGAAUGAAUGGUUUAACGAAAUAUAAACUGUCUUAAUUGUAUAUUAUAAUUUAACUUUUAAGUUAAAAGGCUUAAAUUUUUUUGGUGGACGAGAAGACCCUAUAGAGCUUUACAUUAAUUUCUUUAUAUUAUUUUGAUUUAUAUACUAUAUAAUUUUUUUUUGUGUUUUGUUGGGGUGACAAGGAAUAGAUAAUUAACUUUCAUUAUUUAUUUAACAUUAAUAUAUGAUUUGUUGGAUCCAUUAUUAUUGAUCAUUAGAUUAAGUUACCUUAGGGAUAACAGCGUAAUCUUUCUUUGAAGUUCAAAUUUACAGGAAGGGUUGCGACCUCGAUGUUGGAUUAAGAUAAUAAUUAGGUGCAGUAGCUUAAUUAAUAGGUCUGUUCGACCUUU